GCUCAGGACGAACGCUGGCGGCGUGCUUAACACAUGCAAGUCGAACGAUGAACCACUUCGGUGGGGAUUAGUGGCGAACGGGUGAGUAACACGUGGGCAAUCUGCCCUUCACUCUGGGACAAGCCCUGGAAACGGGGUCUAAUACCGGAUAAUACUUCCACUCGCAUGGGUGGGGGUUGAAAGCUCCGGCGGUGAAGGAUGAGCCCGCGGCCUAUCAGCUUGUUGGUGAGGUAAUGGCUCACCAAGGCGACGACGGGUAGCCGGCCUGAGAGGGCGACCGGCCACACUGGGACUGAGACACGGCCCAGACUCCUACGGGAGGCAGCAGUGGGGAAUAUUGCACAAUGGGCGAAAGCCUGAUGCAGCGACGCCGCGUGAGGGAUGACGGCCUUCGGGUUGUAAACCUCUUUCAGCAGGGAAGAAGCGAAAGUGACGGUACCUGCAGAAGAAGCGCCGGCUAACUACGUGCCAGCAGCCGCGGUAAUACGUAGGGCGCAAGCGUUGUCCGGAAUUAUUGGGCGUAAAGAGCUCGUAGGCGGUCUGUCGCGUCGGAUGUGAAAGCCCGGGGCUUAACCCCGGGUCUGCAUUCGAUACGGGCAGACUAGAGUGUGGUAGGGGAGAUCGGAAUUCCUGGUGUAGCGGUGAAAUGCGCAGAUAUCAGGAGGAACACCGGUGGCGAAGGCGGAUCUCUGGGCCAUUACUGACGCUGAGGAGCGAAAGCGUGGGGAGCGAACAGGAUUAGAUACCCUGGUAGUCCACGCCGUAAACGGUGGGAACUA
Molecule: ribosomal RNA, 779 nt
Filed under: Streptomyces humidus
Lineage: Bacteria; Bacillati; Actinomycetota; Actinomycetes; Kitasatosporales; Streptomycetaceae
Description: bacterial SSU rRNA
Rfam family: Bacterial small subunit ribosomal RNA
Source: RNAcentral